Molecule: ribosomal RNA, 884 nt
Filed under: Salmonella enterica subsp. enterica serovar Thompson
Lineage: Bacteria; Pseudomonadati; Pseudomonadota; Gammaproteobacteria; Enterobacterales; Enterobacteriaceae
Description: bacterial LSU rRNA
Rfam family: Bacterial large subunit ribosomal RNA
Source: RNAcentral
GGGUUGUGAGGUUAAGCGACUAAGCGUACACGGUGGAUGCCCUGGCAGUCAGAGGCGAUGAAGGGCGUGCUAAUCUGCGAUAAGCGCCGGUAAGGUGAUAUGAACCGUUAUAACCGGCGAUACCCGAAUGGGGAAACCCAGUGUGACUCGUCACACUAUCAUUAACUGAAUCCAUAGGUUAAUGAGGCGAACCGGGGGAACUGAAACAUCUAAGUACCCCGAGGAAAAGAAAUCAACCGAGAUUCCCCCAGUAGCGGCGAGCGAACGGGGAGGAGCCCAGAGCCUGAAUCAGCAUGUGUGUUAGUGGAAGCGUCUGGAAAGGCGCGCGAUACAGGGUGACAGCCCCGUACACAAAAGCGCAUGUGCUGUGAGCUCGAUGAGUAGGGCGGGACACGUGGUAUCCUGUCUGAAUAUGGGGGGACCAUCCUCCAAGGCUAAAUACUCCUGACUGACCGAUAGUGAACCAGUACCGUGAGGGAAAGGCGAAAAGAACCCCGGCGAGGGGAGUGAAAAAGAACCUGAAACCGUGUACGUACAAGCAGUGGGAGCCCCACCACUAAGCCAGUGGUGAACUCCACAUACGCAUCCUUUGCUGAAGGAUACGGUUAACGGAGCGAAAGCGACGUUCAACCGCAAAACAAGCAGAGGGGGCUUAGUGGUGGGGUGACUGCGUACCUUUUGUAUAAUGGGUCAGCGACUUAUAUUCUGUAGCAAGGUUAACCGUAUAGGGGAGCCGGAGGGAAACCGAGUCUUAAUUGGGCGUUAAGUUGCAGGGUAUAGACCCGAAACCCGGUGAUCUAGCCAUGGGCAGGUUGAAGGUUGGGUAACACUAACUGGAGGACCGAACCGACUAAUGUUGAAAAAUUAGCGGAUGACCUGUGGCU